GCCAGUGUAGUGUAGUGGUUUGUGUUUUGGACUAUGACUCUGGAGACCAGGGUUCAAAUCCCCGUUCUGCCA
Non-coding RNA from Phrynosoma platyrhinos (Desert horned lizard), 72 nucleotides. NCBI's taxonomy places the organism in Eukaryota, Metazoa, Chordata, Lepidosauria, Squamata, Phrynosomatidae. The record is from the annotation of a GenBank genome assembly.